UGCAAACUGCGAAUACCGGAGAAUGUUAUCACGGGAGACACACGGCGGGUGCUAACGUCCGUCGUGAAGAGGGAAACAACCCAGACCGCCAGCUAAGGUCCCAAAGUCAUGGUUAAGUGGGAAACGAUGUGGGAAGGCCCAGACAGCCAGGAUGUUGGCUUAGAAGCAGCCAUCAUUUAAAGAAAGCGUAAUAGCUCACUGGUCGAGUCGGCCUGCGCGGAAGAUGUAACGGGGCUAAACCAUGCACCGAAGCUGCGGCAGCGACACUAUGUGUUGUUGGGUAGGGGAGCGUUCUGUAAGCCUGUGAAGGUGGCCUGUGAGGGUUGCUGGAGGUAUCAGAAGUGCGAAUGCUGACAUAAGUAACGAUAAAGCGGGUGAAAAGCCCGCUCGCCGGAAGACCAAGGGUUCCUGUCCAACGUUAAUCGGGGCAGGGUGAGUCGACCCCUAAGGCGAGGCCGAAAGGCGUAGUCGAUGGGAAACAGGUUAAUAUUCCUGUACUUGGUGUUACUGCGAAGGGGGGACGGAGAAGGCUAUGUUGGCCGGGCGACGGUUGUCCCGGUUUAAGCGUGUAGGCUGGUUUUCCAGGCAAAUCCGGAAAACCAAGGCUGAGGCGUGAUGACGAGGCACUACGGUGCUGAAGUGACAAAUGCCCUGCUUCCAGGAAAAGCCUCUAAGCAUCAGGUAACAUCAAAUCGUACCCCAAACCGACACAGGUGGUCAGGUAGAGAAUACCAAGGCGCUUGAGAGAACUCGGGUGAAGGAACUAGGCAAAAUGGUGCCGUAACUUCGGGAGAAGGCACGCUGAUAUGUAGGUGAAGCGACUUGCUCGUGGAGCUGAAAUCAGUCGAAGAUACCAGCUGGCUGCAACUGUUUAUUAAAAACACAGCACUGUGCAAACACGAAAGUGGACGUAUACGGUGUGACGCCUGCCCGGUGCCGGAAGGUUAAUUGAUGGGGUUAGCGGUAACGCGAAGCUCUUGAUCGAAGCCCCGGUAAACGGCGGCCGUAACUAUAACGGUCCUAAGGUAGCGAAAUUCCUUGUCGGGUAAGUUCCGACCUGCACGAAUGGCGUAAUGAUGGCCAGGCUGUCUCCACCCGAGACUCAGUGAAAUUGAACUCGCUGUGAAGAUGCAGUGUACCCGCGGCAAGACGGAAAGACCCCGUGAACCUUUACUAUAGCUUGACACUGAACAUUGAGCCUUGAUGUGUAGGAUAGGUGGGAGGCUUUGAAGUGUGGACGCCAGUCUGCAUGGAGCCGACCUUGAAAUACCACCCUUUAAUGUUUGAUGUUCUAACGUUGGCCCCUAAUCGGGGUUGCGGACAGUGUCUGGUGGGUAGUUUGACUGGGGCGGUCUCCUCCUAAAGAGUAACGGAGGAGCACGAAGGUUGGCUAAUCCUGGUCGGACAUCAGGAGGUUAGUGCAAUGGCAUAAGCCAGCUUGACUGCGAGCGUGACGGCGCGAGCAGGUGCGAAAGCAGGUCAUAGUGAUCCGGUGGUUCUGAAUGGAAGGGCCAUCGCUCAACGGAUAAAAGGUACUCCGGGGAUAACAGGCUGAUACCGCCCAAGAGUUCAUAUCGACGGCGGUGUUUGGCACCUCGAUGUCGGCUCAUCACAUCCUGGGGCUGAAGUAGGUCCCAAGGGUAUGGCUGUUCGCCAUUUAAAGUGGUACGCGAGCUGGGUUUAGAACGUCGUGAGACAGUUCGGUCCCUAUCUGCCGUGGGCGCUGGAGAACUGAGGGGGGCUGCUCCUAGUACGAGAGGACCGGAGUGGACGCAUCACUGGUGUUCGGGUUGUCAUGCCAAUGGCACUGCCCGGUAGCUAAAUGCGGAAGAGAUAAGUGCUGAAAGCAUCUAAGCACGAAACUUGCCCCGAGAUGAGUUCUCCCUGAGACUUAGAGUCUCCUGAAGGAACGUUGAAGACGACGACGUUGAUAGGCCGGGUGUGUAAGCGCAGCGAUGCGUUGAGCUAACCGGUACUAAUGAACCGUGAGGCUUAACCUUACAACGCCGAAG
This 2012-nucleotide ribosomal RNA is filed under the name Escherichia coli. RNAcentral's name for it is "partial 23S ribosomal RNA". It matches the Rfam family "Bacterial large subunit ribosomal RNA", at positions 948 to 2925 of the family's 2925-position model. The record is from RNAcentral. Lineage: Bacteria; Pseudomonadati; Pseudomonadota; Gammaproteobacteria; Enterobacterales; Enterobacteriaceae.